Molecule: long non-coding RNA, 251 nt
Filed under: Elaeis guineensis (African oil palm)
Lineage: Eukaryota; Viridiplantae; Streptophyta; Magnoliopsida; Arecales; Arecaceae
Description: long non-coding RNA (EGUI_LNC034817)
Source: RNAcentral
CACCAUCAUAUGGCAUCUUGGGAAGUGUGCAUAGAGAGGAGAGUCCUUCUACUUUAAGACUCUUCCUUUCCCAUGCAUUGGCAUUUAUUCUACGUAGAAAUCGAGUUGGUCCUGCAUAAGAAUACUUAGCACCAAGGGUUGUUUCACAUGCCCCUUCUUAUCUUAUAAAUAAGGGGACGCAAAUGGAAUUGGCAUGCAAUUUGAGUGGAUUUGGAAGAGAUCUUAGGUGUGGGUUUUGAAAAGAAAGAAAA